This 70-nucleotide transfer RNA is filed under the name Dipodomys ordii (Ord's kangaroo rat). It matches the Rfam family "tRNA". From Rfam's summary of the family: Transfer RNA (tRNA) molecules are approximately 80 nucleotides in length. Their secondary structure includes four short double-helical elements and three loops (D, anti-codon, and T loops). Lineage: Eukaryota; Metazoa; Chordata; Mammalia; Rodentia; Heteromyidae. The record is from Rfam by way of RNAcentral.
GGUAGUGUGGCUCAGUGGUAGAGGGCUUGCCUAGCUUGCAGGAAGCCCAGGGUUCGAUUCCUCAGUACCA